RNAcentral lists this transfer RNA (69 nucleotides) under Scopus umbretta (hamerkop). It matches the Rfam family "tRNA". Rfam says of the family: Transfer RNA (tRNA) molecules are approximately 80 nucleotides in length. Their secondary structure includes four short double-helical elements and three loops (D, anti-codon, and T loops). RNAcentral also lists the same sequence under 3 other names. Lineage: Eukaryota; Metazoa; Chordata; Aves; Pelecaniformes; Scopidae. The record is from Rfam by way of RNAcentral.
GCUCUUCUAGUAUAGCAAUUACAAUCGACUUCCAAUCCUUAAACUCCGGUUCAACCCCGGAGAAGAGCA